UCCCUACGGGACGCAGCAGUGAGGAAUAUUGGUCAAUGGGCGGGAGCCUGAACCAGCCAAGUCGCGUGAGGGAAGACGGUCCUAUGGAUUGUAAACCUCUUUAGGCGGGGAGCAAUGCCGGGCACGCGUGCCCGGAGGGAGAGUACCCGCAGAAUAAGCAUCGGCUAACUCCGUGCCAGCAGCCGCGGUAAUACGGAGGAUGCGAGCGUUAUCCGGAUUUAUUGGGUUUAAAGGGUGCGCAGGCGGCGAGUUAAGUCAGCGGUAAAAUUUCGGGGCUCAACCCCGACAAGCCGUUGAAACUGGCU
This 305-nucleotide ribosomal RNA is filed under the name uncultured bacterium. RNAcentral's name for it is "bacterial SSU rRNA". It matches the Rfam family "Bacterial small subunit ribosomal RNA", at positions 337 to 638 of the family's 1533-position model. The record is from RNAcentral.